This 6695-nucleotide long non-coding RNA is filed under the name Nicotiana tabacum (common tobacco). Its description in RNAcentral is "long non-coding RNA (NTAB_LNC012749)". Lineage: Eukaryota; Viridiplantae; Streptophyta; Magnoliopsida; Solanales; Solanaceae. The record is from RNAcentral.
AAGAUUGAAUCAGUUGGCUAUGCACUUGUAAAGAUGUUUGGUGUAGAUCCGGGGGCAACUAUACAAGCAAAAGUGACGAAGUACAUGACUUCAUUAUUUAGUGAGUAUGUAAAGUCCGGCUCAAAAGGUGUUGUGCUUGCUUCAUCUUCAGAUUGUUCUUCAUUGGACACUUCGACUUCCGGGCUUUCUGGCAGUCAAGCAAGCACCCAAAAUAUAGGACUUUCAGAAUCACUCAUGCAAGAUAUAAAAAAAUAUAAAAGUGGGAGUGGAGGUGUUGAUACUAGAACAGAGUUAGAUAAAUAUUUAAGUGAAGAAACUGAGGAUGACACUAAAGAAUUUGAUGUUCUUCUUUGGUGGAAAUUGAACUCAGCUAGAUUUUCUAUUCUUGCGGAGAUGGCUCGUGAUGUAUUAGCUGUUCCGAUUUCAACUGUGGCAUCUGAAUGUGCAUUUAGUAUGGGAGGACGUCUUCUUGAUUCAUUUAGGAGUUCAUUAACUCCUAAAUUGGUGCAAGCUCUAGUGUGUCUUCAAGAUUGGCUUCAAAAUGAAAAAUUAAAACAACCUAUUAGUGUUGAGGAAGAUCUUGAUAAAAUCGAGCAGCUUGAAUAAGGUAAUAAUAUUGUUACUAUAUUUGUUGUUUAUAAGUGUUGUUGAUAUGCUUAUAUUUAUCGCACGACUCAUUAUUUAAAUUGUUUUCUUCAGAUUUAGCCGCAAUGGAAAAGACCCUUCCGUAAUGGACGUGUAGUGUUAAUAUAUCUGGUAAGAAUUCGAAUUUAACCCAUCAAGGCUUCAAGUAUUUGUUCUAAAAAAUAUCUUUUUUCACUCUUCAAUGAAAUAUUGAAAAACAUUAUCCAUGGUAAGUCAUUUUUUAGGAAGUUCAUACCAAACACAUUUUGAUUACAGAAUGUGGAACUAUGUUUGUGUUUCAUCAUCUUAGUGCUUGUGAUUUUGUCGAUGGAAUUGUUUCAGUGACAUGACAGUCUCUGCAAGGGUCGCAAGACGUAAAAUUUUCUGACCAAACGAUUGACCUACAGUUGCCUCUUUUUUACUUGUGCUGUCGAUCUUGGCAUGGCCGUUAUUGUGUUGGCUAGCACCGUUGUUGAGAUUUGAGUCGUUGACUGCUGAUUUCUUGUUGUUGUUUCCUACAGAAUUGGAUUUCUUGAGAGCUUGAACUUGGUUUGGCUAUGGUUGAAUCGCCUGUGGUAAGAGCUGUCCGUUGUAGAAAAAAAUAUCAACUGGGCAGUUACUAUUAAUUGGACCCACAGAAUUGGUGUAUGCAUUUUUUUUGAAGCUACAGAAAUUCAAGAUACAGAAUGUGAGACUGUGACUUUAAUUGCUGAAGACUCAUAUGUAAUCAACCUAGUUCUGCUUUUUUCACUCUCAAAUGAUAUAUAAUCAACCUAGCUCAUUUCCACUUCUUCAUUUACUGUGACUUUAAUUGUUGCAGACUCAUAUGUAAUCUACCUAGUUCUGCUUUUUUCAAUCUCAAAUGAUGUGUUCUGCUUUUUUAAAAGACACGUAUGUCUGGUGUAAUUUCGAUUUCUGAAUUUGUAUGCUAGGCCGAUAAACCGUCCGAUAACCGCCCGAUAAGAGCUAAACCGAUACCAAUCCAUCUUAUAUCUUAUCGAGUAGCUAGCGGAUUAAUACAUUUAAAAGCCGAUAACCGAUAAGCCAAACCGUUAAAAGUAAAUAAGUGUCUAAUUCGCCCGAUAAGCAGUCCUAAACAUGAGAAGAAAAGGUAACACCAAAAAUCAGAGAGAAGUAUGCAAACCCAAGUAAUUUCAGCAGUGGCCUUACUCAUAGACCUGUAUUCAGCUUCAGUAGAUGACAAGGACACCACAGAUUGCUUCUUUGACUUCCAGCCUAUGAGACAUCCCCCUAGUAAAAUGCAAAACACACUGAUUGACUUCCUACUACAUGUGAGGAAGGCAAUGCUUCUACAUAAAUUGGUUUAAAUGUUGCAUUGCAAAACAAAUGUCAGGUCUGAUAUGGGUUAAGAAGUUGAGUUUACCCACUAAGCAACUAUAAGUCUCAGGAUUAGGCAAGCGAUCACCAUGAUCAGCCUGCAACUUGUCAUGCAUAUCAAGAGGGGAUACCACUGAAGAACAAUCAUAAGAGUGGAACUCUUUGAGAAGAUCAUGAACAAACUUUUUCUGGUGCAGCAACACCCCACCUUCAGAAUACAACACUUCAUUACCCAGAAAAUAUUAAGGUGGCCUAAAUCCUUAAUUUUAAAUUGAUCAUAGAGAAAGAUUUUCACAAUAGCAAUCUCACACAAAUUUGUCCCAGUGAUGAUAAUGUCAUCAACAUACACUACCAAAAGAACCAAAACAUCACCAGAACCUUUAAUAAAGAGUGAAUAGUCAUUGAAGGAGUGCUCAUAGCCUCUAGAAGACAAAGAUUGAGACAACUUGGUAUACCAUUGCCUUGAAGCUUGUCUCAAACCAUAUAAUUUUUUUUUGAGUUUACAGACUAAAGAAGUGGAAGCAGAAGUAGAGGAUACAGUAGAAACUGAAAGACCAGGUGGAAGCUUUAUAAAAACUUCUUCAUCUAAGUCCCCAUACAAGAAAGCAUUAUUAACAUCUAGUUGGAAUAGUGGCCAAUUUCUUUUAACAGCUACAACAAUUAAAGUUUUAACAGUAAGACAUUUUAACUACAUGUGAAAAGUUUCAUGAAAGUCUAUGCCUUCAACCUGUGUAUCACCCCUUACCACAAGCCUAGCUUUAUAUCUCUCUAUGCUCCCAUCAGCUUUGUACUUAAUUUUAUAUACCCGUUUGCAGCCAAUUGGCUUCUUGCCCUUGGGUAACUCAACUAUGUCCCAAGUACCAUUAGUCUCCAAUGCCUCAAACUCUAGUCUCAUAGCAUUCUGCCACUCAGGGAUAGCUGUUGCCUUAGAAUAAGUAGUAGUCUCAAAUGCAUGAUGCUCACUAGAAGUAGACAUAACAGCUGAAUUAGCAGAGCUAGAGCCAUGAGUUGGUAGGUUGUAGACAUAAUUCUGUAGAUACGAAGGAGGACUAUGAGGUCUAGAUGAUCUCUUUAAGGGGGGAAUUCAGAUUCUGAGAAAUGGAGAUUAGGAGAAGUAGGAGAUCUGCUCUUAUAUAUUUCAGAAGCGGAACAAGUAGGAUUAGAGGGAUGAGGAGAGACAGGAGAUGCAACAGGUGGAGCAAGGUAGAAGAAGUCAUGGAACAAAGAAGAAUUCUGCUUAGCAGAGUGACCAAAACAUGCAAAAAAUGGUAAAUUUGACAUAGUAAGGGAAGUAGAGCCAGAUUGAACAAAAGGAAAUAUAUGUUCAUGAAAUAUAAUAUCUCUGGAGAUAAAAUAGACUUUAUUCUGUAAAUCAUACAGUUUAUAGGCUUUCUUCCCAAAGGGAUAACCAAUAAACACACAAGGAAUGGCCCUAGGCUGCAGUUUGCCCCUAUAAGAUUUUGGAAUAGUGGAGUAACAUAAGCAUCCAAAAGAUCUAAGAUUUGAGUAUGUGGGGAGUUUGUUAUAUAAGAUUUCAUAGGGACUCUUGUCCUUUAAUACACUAGAAGGGAACCUAUUUAUCAGAUAGGUGGCUGUGAGUAUGCAGUUUCGUCAAAAUCUAAGAGGGAGGCUAGAUUGGAAAGGAUGGGCUCUAGUAGUUUCCAAGAGAUGUCUGUGCUUCCUUUCCACAACUCCAUUUCAUUAUGGAGUAUGAGGCCAUGUUGUCUGAUUCAAUACCCCUUUCUUAGAGAAGAACUUUGAUCCAACAACGUUGGAUCCCAAUUCUAAAGCAUUGUCACUUCUUACAUUUUGAACUUUCAAUUAGAAUUGAGUUUCGGCUAUGGCAAUGAAGGCUUUUAAGAGAUCAAAAGCAUCGCUUUUGGCUCUCAUUAGGUGGGUCCGAGUGGCUCUGGAAAAAUCACCAACAAUGGUCAUAAAUCUAGUAUAGGUAUGUCAGUGAUAUGGACCCUAACUGUUAAUGAUUAACUGAAAAGGUUUUGUGGUUUGUAUACUAUUAUCAGGAAAUGGUGAUCUUGUUUGUCUAGCUAAUGGACAUAUUAGACAAGAAAAAGACUAUUUGGAAGAUAACUGUGACCCAAGCAUGGAGAUGUGUUUCAUUCUAGAAAAAAGAAAAUACCCAAGCCUAUAAUGCCAAACUGCAUCCAUUUCAUUGAUAUUAUUCGGAGUUGCAUUAGUAUUUACAUGUGUUUCAUGAGCAUCAACAACAAUUACAUUCUUUACAUUUGCUUGUAUCUCAGGAAAAACACAGAUAAGGGAAAAACAAGGGAAAUAACAGGGGAAGUAACAAUAGAUGAGUAAUAGGAUGUGGUACUGGCAGAAGCAAUAGGAGGAAGUAAAAGUUUAUGGAGACUGUGGUCCAAUUUACUAAGAACCAGAGGCAUCUUCAGAGAAGGGGCCUGUAUAGCACAAAGAGUUCUGGUAAACAGAAUAAUCACAUUAUAUUGUUCUAACAGCUUAUGAAUUGAAAUAAGAUUGUAUUGAAAGGAAGGAAGAUAAAGAACAUGAUGAAUUGUGAAAUUUGAAAAUAAAGUCAAGGAUCCUACUAAAUGAACUUUGACUUUGUAACCAUUUGGAAGAGAAACUAGACAAGGUACAGGUAGUGUUUGCAGAUUAAAAAGUAAAUCCUUAUAAGAGGUCAUGUGAUCAAAAGCUCCAGAGUCUAUAGCCCAAAUAAAACUAUCUACUUGUGAAAGCAUGCAUGACUUGAGCGGAAUACUUUCUGAUAACAACUUACCAGCAAAGUUAGCAGAAGCCAUUAGAGUGGGAGUAGAGCAGGAAUCGACAGAAAAAUGGGAUUGUUGCAGUAACAUCAUCAUUUGGGAGAAUUGAUCUUGUGUCAAACCAGGGACCAUUGAAACAUUACCAGACUUAGAUGGCUUGACAGAAUCAGAAACCAUAUUAGAAACCACAUUAACAGGAGGACCAGGAGAGUUCACUUCAACAUGAGCUGCAGUUUCCUACUGCCAGGCCCUUUUGUAAACUUGAAGUUUGGAAUAUACCUAUGUAGUUUAUAACAUUUAUCAAUGAUGUGACCUGGUUUCUAAUAAUUUUUGCAUGUAAGGGGUCUUUGAGCAUUCUCACACUCCUUUUUUUCACUUCACUAACCCUCUUAAAAUUAAUAAAAGGUUUUAAAACUCGAAAGGGUUUUCAAAUUGAAAGUGACAAAAUUGUGUUCAAAAAAUUUUUCAGAGCCGCUACCUGAUAUUUGGUUUAAAAAUAACUUUUUAAAAAUAAUUUUUCCUUUUAAAAACACAUAUAGACUCUAAAACAUAGUCUGCACCAGAGAUUCAGAGAAAGGAGGUUCAUUUGAUUCGGGAGGAGGUGUUAGGCAUUCCUCGAGUCCCGCAACUAAUACGGUUGCAUACUUAAUCUAGUUGGAUUUAAAGAAAACUCAAGUUGAGGCAAAAACACACAAAGAAAAAUAAACACACAAGAGGCUCGAGGUCGUUCCCACCUAAAUACAAAAAAAAAAUAAGAGAAAAAUACUAAGAGUACUAUGCUCCCUCCACGAUGUCCGUCACGGCCUCCCAUUACAUUCACUAUGGGGCAUACCUCGUAUAAAAAUAUAUACAAAAUCUAUGGGGCAUUCCCCUAAAUAAGAUAAUAACUAAGGAAACGAUCUUUAGCCUUAGAAGCCAAAAAACAAAGAAAACAUCUUAAAAGUUGCCUACCCGGGCGUGGUCGGCCUAACAUGCACCUAGCGAUUAAAGCAAUAAAAUAAACUAAAAUAAAAUAAGACAUUCCUUUCAUACUCAUUUUUCUUUCAACGCUUCACAUCAUUCAUCAAGCCUAAAUCACUUAAUUCUAAUUAAUUGGAUUCUUGUCUCAUUCAAUACCACUCAACGCCCAACUAAUGCUCACGAUCAGUUAGAUUAGCCUAAAUUCUCUUUGUAAUUUUAGAAUUAUUUUCUUAACAUUAUAACUUCUUUGUGAGCUACGAUGUUUUUUCAAUUCCAAUGUACUAUAAAAUAAAGAAAAUCAUGUCAAUGUAAUCAAUCCAAUCUCCUGAUGUACUCCUCCGUUGUUUACACAAUUUCAAGGCAACAAGCUAAUUAAGAAGCAUCAUGGAAAUUAAUAGUUAAUUAACAUCAACUGACUAAUUAAAUAAAGGAAAUACAUGCUAACACAGAAGAGUCACAAUUAAUUAGAGCUAUUCAUCAAACGAGCGUAAUAAGCUGAAAUAAAAUGGGUUUGAGAAAUGGACCUUUAUUGAAACCAAAAUUUCUUUCAGAAUUUGAUUUAAGAAUGCCUCUGAGUAUGACACCGAAAAGCAAAAACAAUUGACAGCAAACUUGCACUAAAUUGAAAAUCAAUUCACGCCUCUGAUCGGACCUUGAACAGAAAAGUGUCGACCGGGGCACUCGAACAAUACUCGACGUUACUCAACAAUUAAUGGCGAAACAACCAUGAAAAUGGCUUGUUAGGGAGGACCCAUGGCAGUUUUGGGGACAGAUCUACAAUGGCUCUACUGGUGGUGGCUGGUGUCGCAUCUAUGGUAUUUUGGCCUGAUUUUCUGUGAGAGCAAUAACAGAGAGCCAAAUCCUAAAAUGGGUGUUGUCUCUGUCCAAAAGCCGAUGUUCUGUGUCGUCUCUCCCCGUUCUCUCAUGUCUUCCUCUCUCUUUAUGUAAUGUGUGUUUGGUGUGAGAACAUUCUAUCAAGAGUGGCAUCCAAUGUGCUGGGAUUAAUUGGGGAGCAAGGAAAAUGUUAUGGAU